UACGAAGGGGGCGAGCGUUGUUCGGAAUCACUGGGCGUAAAGGGCGCGUAGGCGGCCUUGUUUGUCGCGUGUGAAAGCCCCGGGCUCAACCUGGGAGGUGCGCGCGAGACGGCGGGGCUGGAGUUCGGGAGAGGAGCGUGGAAUUCCCAGUGUAGAGGUGAAAUUCGUAGAUAUUGGGAAGAACACCGGUGGCGAAGGCGGCGCUCUGGACCGAGACUGACGCUGAGGCGCGAAAGCGUGGGGAG
Molecule: ribosomal RNA, 245 nt
Filed under: uncultured bacterium
Lineage: Bacteria
Description: partial 16S ribosomal RNA
Rfam family: Bacterial small subunit ribosomal RNA
Source: RNAcentral